UAGCCAAGGAUGACUUGCCUGCUCCUGCUCAUACUAGGGUUGCUGGUAUACAAGUGCAGCCCUUGAGUGUAGGUUUCAGGCAGUCACCUUGGCUAA
Molecule: microRNA precursor, 96 nt
Filed under: Manihot esculenta (cassava)
Lineage: Eukaryota; Viridiplantae; Streptophyta; Magnoliopsida; Malpighiales; Euphorbiaceae
Source: RNAcentral